This 440-nucleotide ribosomal RNA is filed under the name uncultured bacterium. Its description in RNAcentral is "partial 16S ribosomal RNA". It matches the Rfam family "Bacterial small subunit ribosomal RNA", at positions 338 to 795 of the family's 1533-position model. The record is from RNAcentral.
CCUACGGGAGGCAGCAGUAGGGAAUAUUGCUCAAUGGGGGAAACCCUGAAGCAGCAACGCCGCGUGGAGGAUGAAGGUUUUCGGAUUGUAAACUCCUUUUGUCAGAGAAGAUAAUGACGGUAUCUAACGAAUAAGCACCGGCUAACUCCGUGCCAGCAGCCGCGGUAAUACGGAGGGUGCAAGCGUUACUCGGAAUCACUGGGCGUAAAGAGCGCGUAGGCGGGGUAGCAAGUCAGAUGUGAAAGCCUAGGGCUUAACCAUAGAACUGCAUUUGAAACUGUUAUUCUAGAGUAUGGGAGAGGUAGGUGGAAUUCUUGGUGUAGGGGUAAAAUCCGUAGAGAUCAAGAGGAAUACUCAUUGCGAAGGCGACCUGCUAGAACAUAACUGACGCUGAUGCGCGAAAGCGUGGGGAGCAAACAGGAUUAGAUACCCUAGUAGUC